AUACAUGCAAGUCGAGCGGACAGAUGGGAGCUUGCUCCCUGAUGUUAGCGGCGGACGGGUGAGUAACACGUGGGUAACCUGCCUGUAAGACUGGGAUAACUCCGGGAAACCGGGGCUAAUACCGGAUGGUUGUCUGAACCGCAUGGUUCAGACAUAAAAGGUGGCUUCGGCUACCACUUACAGAUGGACCCGCGGCGCAUUAGCUAGUUGGUGAGGUAACGGCUCACCAAGGCGACGAUGCGUAGCCGACCUGAGAGGGUGAUCGGCCACACUGGGACUGAGACACGGCCCAGACUCCUACGGGAGGCAGCAGUAGGGAAUCUUCCGCAAUGGACGAAAGUCUGACGGAGCAACGCCGCGUGAGUGAUGAAGGUUUUCGGAUCGUAAAGCUCUGUUGUUAGGGAAGAACAAGUGCCGUUCAAAUAGGGCGGCACCUUGACGGUACCUAACCAGAAAGCCACGGCUAACUACGUGCCAGCAGCCGCGGUAAUACGUAGGUGGCAAGCGUUGUCCGGAAUUAUUGGGCGUAAAGGGCUCGCAGGCGGUUUCUUAAGUCUGAUGUGAAAGCCCCCGGCUCAACCGGGGAGGGUCAUUGGAAACUGGGGAACUUGAGUGCAGAAGAGGAGAGUGGAAUUCCACGUGUAGCGGUGAAAUGCGUAGAGAUGUGGAGGAACACCAGUGGCGAAGGCGACUCUCUGGUCUGUAACUGACGCUGAGGAGCGAAAGCGUGGGGAGCGAACAGGAUUAGAUACCCUGGUAGUCCACGCCGUAAACGAUGAGUGCUAAGUGUUAGGGGGUUUCCGCCCCUUAGUGCUGCAGCUAACGCAUUAAGCACUCCGCCUGGGGAGUACGGUCGCAAGACUGAAACUCAAAGGAAUUGACGGGG
Molecule: ribosomal RNA, 886 nt
Filed under: Bacillus subtilis
Lineage: Bacteria; Bacillati; Bacillota; Bacilli; Caryophanales; Bacillaceae
Description: bacterial SSU rRNA
Rfam family: Bacterial small subunit ribosomal RNA
Source: RNAcentral